GAUGAACGCUGGCGGCGUGCCUAAUACAUGCAAGUCGAGCGAACGGACGAGAAGCUUGCUUCUCUGAUGUUAGCGGCGGACGUGUGAGUAACACGUGGAUAACCUACCUAUAAGACUGGGAUAACUUCGGGAAACCGGAGCUAAUACCGGAUAAUAUUUUGAACCGCAUGGUUCAAAAGUGAAAGACGGUCUUUCUGUCACUUAUAGAUGGAUCCGCGCUGCAUUAGCUAGUUGGUAAGGUAACGGCUUACCAAGGCAACGAUGCAUAGCCGACCUGAGAGGGUGAUCGGCCACACUGGAACUGAGACACGGUCCAGACUCCUACGGGAGGCAGCAGUAGGGGAUCUUCCGCAAUGGGCGAAAGCCUGACGGAGCAACGCCGCGUGAGUGAUGAAGGUCUUCGGAUCGUAAAACUCUGUUAUUAGGGAAGAACAUAUGUGUAAGUAACUGUGCACAUCUUGACGGUACCUAAUCAGAAAGCCACGGCUAACUACGUG
Molecule: ribosomal RNA, 497 nt
Filed under: uncultured bacterium
Lineage: Bacteria
Description: partial 16S ribosomal RNA
Rfam family: Bacterial small subunit ribosomal RNA
Source: RNAcentral